AGGCCUCCUGGAUGACUUGGUCUGUUGUAUUGUUAUUAAGUUUGUUAAAUAAUUUGAGUAAGAAGCUCUUGUCUGUGUCCUCUUAUAAGGCAUGUAACAUCUAGGAUUGCUGUCUACAGAAGAGGAGGGGCUGGAAUUAUCCAUAUUCUAAGACAUCUGUUGUCAUGGGCCCUCUUCUUUGAAAAUAUCAAUAGAAAGAUGAAUUAUGUCGCAUCCUUUUGCCUGGAAGAGCUCUCAUUGCAGUAGAAGAAAACCAGCGUUUACAUAACCUCAAGCAAGACUAGGCCUGUCUUCUCCGACACUCAGCAGGAGCAGUGACUGCAGCUCUACUCACAAGAAGGCCGCACACAUGAAGCAGGUGUUGCCAUGGAUUUUCCCAUCUG
Molecule: non-coding RNA, 383 nt
Organism: Delphinapterus leucas (beluga whale)
Lineage: Eukaryota; Metazoa; Chordata; Mammalia; Artiodactyla; Monodontidae
Source: RefSeq, a predicted model, not a curated record